This 467-nucleotide ribosomal RNA is filed under the name uncultured bacterium. RNAcentral's name for it is "partial 16S ribosomal RNA". It matches the Rfam family "Bacterial small subunit ribosomal RNA", at positions 28 to 506 of the family's 1533-position model. The record is from RNAcentral.
GACGAACGCUGGCGGCGUGCUUAACACAUGCAAGUCGAACGGAAAGGCCCUGCUUUUGUGGGGUGCUCGAGUGGCGAACGGGUGAGUAACACGUGAGUAACCUGCCCUUGACUUUGGGAUAACUUCAGGAAACUGGGGCUAAUACCGGAUAGGAGCUCCUGCUGCAUGGUGGGGGUUGGAAAGUUUCGGCGGUUGGGGAUGGACUCGCGGCUUAUCAGCUUGUUGGUGGGGUAGUGGCUUACCAAGGCUUUGACGGGUAGCCGGCCUGAGAGGGUGACCGGCCACAGUGGGACGGAGAUACGGCCCAGACUCAUACGGGAGGAAGCAGUGGGGAAUAUUGCACAAUGGGCGGAAGCCUGAUGCAGCAACGCCGGGUGCGGGAUGACGGCCUUCGGGUUGUAAACCGCUUUCGCGUGUGACGAAGCGUGAGUAACGGUAAUGGGUAAAGAAGCACCGGCGAACUACGU